UGGGGAAUCUUGCGCAAUGGCCUAACGGCUGACGCAGCGACGCCGCGUGAGGGAUGACGCUCUUCGGAGUGUAAACCUCUUUUGCCUGGAACGAACUAUCAGCAUUUGCUGAUUUGACGGUACCGGGUGAAUAAGCACCGGCUAACUCCGUGCCAGCAGCCGCGGUAAUACGGGGGGUGCGAGCGUUGUCCGGAAUCACUGGGCGUAAAGGGCGCGUAGGUGGCAUGAUAAGGGUGUGGUGAAAGCCCGGGGCUCAACCCCGGGUCGGCCAUGCCGACUGUCAAGCUGGAGUACUGUAGGGGCAGGCGGAAUUCCGGGUGUAGCGGUGGAAUGCGUAGAGAUCCGGAGGAAGACCGGUGGCGAAGGCGGCCUGCUGGGCAGUUACUGACACUGAGGCGCGACAGCGUGGGGAGCAAACAG
Molecule: ribosomal RNA, 420 nt
Filed under: uncultured bacterium
Lineage: Bacteria
Description: bacterial SSU rRNA
Rfam family: Bacterial small subunit ribosomal RNA
Source: RNAcentral